UCUCACUCAUUCCCGUGUCUGAGAUUCCUGCCUUUACAAGUUGGAAAGAUGUUUAAUUACCUCUGUACCAGAUCUUGUGCUGCUGCUUGGGCUAUGUUGAGAUCUCUGGAUAUGGAGGGUUCAGAGGCAAUGGAAAGGUUGGGUGGGGUGGGUGGUGAGAAGAAUCUGCAUGCCUUUUAAGUCCACUAACCCAGGUUAAUUCACUUAAAUAUUUAAAGCAGAGAAGCUUUGUAGGAGCCACCUCUGGCAGCCAAGAAGGCGCAAGAGGGUUUGAGGAAUUCAGAGUUCCCAUUCUCAUAUCUACCUGCAUGUCCUCAUGUUUCCAUGCCUGGAGCAAACCCACCCUUAGGACUUCUAGUUGAUUUGAUUUUCUUACUGUUGAAGGCCUUUUGAAGCAGAAUAUUCUUUUAUUUGUAGUGGUAAACCUCAGUGGAUUAAAUGAGACACUUGUCAUCAUAUUAGUAACCUUAUAGGUGUGGAUUAAAUGAGAUCUACCCAUAAGGCAUUUAAAGCUGCCCCUGCUACAUUUUGAGCGCUCAGUAAACAUGAACUGUUACCCCUAGACUUGGGAAGCAAAGUCUCAGGUAGCAGUUUUCUGACUGUGAGCUUGGCUUUAGUUGGUAAAUGUCAGGUGAAUAGGCGCAGAGCAGGUUCAGGGAGAGUGGAAAUAUCAUGAUAAGAUUCUGUUUACUCUUUGGGGACUGACAUGAAGCCAGAAAGAAAACCAUUUUACCUGGUGAACAGGCAAAGUCCAGUGUAGGAGUCAUUUCUUGGGCUUAGGACAGACGUUUCUGGAGAGUGACAACAGAUAUGCCUUCCCAAAGAAAGCUGAGGCCUGGCUGUGGAUGAGAUCUGGGCCUCCUUCCAAACCUGAAUAAAGAUGAUUACUGGUGAUCUAGGAUUCAUGAAACACUUCCCUUGGUCUCCUUGGAAAAUAUACCAAGAUCCUUGGAUGUGGGACAUAUUAAAUUUGAGACAAUGUGUAUGAGGCCAGAUAAACAUACCUUUUUCCUCACUAGAUAGGACUCAAACUGGGAAUGGCUGUGGAAAAGUGGUAAACAGGAGCUGAAAGUUAGGUAAAGGUACCAGUGAGACCAAAAAAUCAGCUAAUUCCAAAUGUAUCAUUACCUAGGUAUUCUGAGAUGAGCUAGUGAUACAUUGAUGAGUGAAAUGUGGUUCUUACCCUUAUAGACUACUGAUUUCAAGGUGCCUUGAGCCAGAAUUGGGAUGAUAACUAUUGAUACAUCAGGCAGGGCCGUGAAGAGAUUAGGUCUGAGAGUGCCACCCUUUGGGGAUGGAAGUUGAGGACAUGAGAUCUACUCCCUACCACUGAGCCAAGAGAACACAUACUCUGAGGAAGGAAGGGGUCCCUGAUCAGCAAGGAUGCCAUGCCAAGGCCAAGUAGCAUUCAGGAGAGCUGGACUAAGGAGGUGGGUGACCAGAAAUGCACAUUUCCUGAGUAGUGUGCAUGUUUGUGCGAUGUUGCCAUGACCUUGUUUGUCUACCCAUUUACACAUGUGUGUAAGUUAGGUCAUGUGCUUCGCGCAUCAUGGUUAAAUAGGUUAUGCUGUGACCUGCAGGAAGGAAAGUCUGACACUGUGUACCUUGGGGGCAGAUUCCACAAUGAGAGCAGAUACUGGCAAGGGCUCUACCCUUUGGGGAGGAAUUUACAAAAAUAGUCUAAGGCAUUGAGCAAGAGAAGGAGGAAGUAGACAUGCACAUUUGCAGAUAAAAGCAACACUUAGAUGAAAACGAUCCAAGUUAGUGGGAAUGCUGAAAUAACAACUAUGAACUUCUCACUCCUAAAUCCUCAUCUUGGGGAUGCUAAUAUUGAAAUGGUCACUAAACUUGAAGUGUUCACUGAAAUUAUACUAUUGUUGAAAUUAAAGCAAUCAUAUUAAAGGCCAUGAUCAUUUAAUCAGAUUAAAUCUAUCACUAUUCUUUGGAGUUUAUUCAAAUAGCUAAGUACUACCAUCCAUUAAUUCUGUAUUGCUGUGUUUUGGAGAAUGAUACAAUAGAAUAGAAUAUGUACAUUGUAUAUAUUUGAUUAUUUCCUGCUCUUGAAACAUAGUGAAAACCUCAGCAAUCUGGAAGAAGACUGGCUAGAAGGAGAAAUCUUGUUGAAAUUAGUGGUCUAUUUGCAUUUAAAAAAUGAACUUUCAAAGAUUUUUCUAUAUUCUUAAAGCAAUUAAAACAAACCUGAAUAAAUGAGUGUCAAUUUAAGAUCCAGAGUAUGUUUUCUUCAGUGGUACAUUUGAGUUAUUGUAUGAAGAAUGCUUAGUAUUUGCUUUGAAAUAUGGAUUUUGCUAUAAUGGUGUUAAAAAUGGCUGGUAGCAGUUUGCAUUACCAAGUAGGUCAAUUAUAUUAUUCUGUGCACUUAGUUCUAAGGGUAGACUGUCUGGUGUCCUGUGACAGUGUUGGUAACCUCCUACCUCCCUUAAUGAAAAUCUGAUCAUUCACCUUGCAUUUUUUUCCCCUUCUUGCCUGAAUGGCCCUGGAAGAUUUGUUCCUUUGUCUUCAAAUGUUCUGUUGUCUAGAGACUUCUUUUUUUUUUUUUUACCUUAAGAUGGGUAAUAGUGCACC
Molecule: long non-coding RNA, 2583 nt
Filed under: Marmota monax (woodchuck)
Lineage: Eukaryota; Metazoa; Chordata; Mammalia; Rodentia; Sciuridae
Source: RNAcentral